CCUACGGGAUGCAGCAGUGGGGAAUAUUGGGCAAUGGGCGCAAGCCUGACCCAGCAACGCCGCGUGAAGGAAGAAGGCUUUCGGGUUGUAACCUUCUUUUGUCAGGGACGAAGCAAGUGACGGUACCUGACGAAUAAGCCACGGCUAACUACGUGCCAGCAGCCGCGGUAAUACGGAGGUGGCAAGCGUUAUCCGGACUGAUUGGGCGUAAAGGGUGCGUAGGCGGGCUGCUAAGUCUGGAGUGAAAGGUACCGGCUCAACCGGUACAGGCUCUGGAAACUGGCGGGCUAGAGGGCAGGGGAGGGCGGUGGAACUGCAUGUGUAGCGGUAAAAUGCGUAGAUAUAUGGAAGAACACCAGUGGCGAAGGCGGCCGCCUGGCCUGUUAACUGACGCUGAGGCACGAAAGCGUGGGGAGCAAAUAGGAUUAGAUACCCCGGUAGUC
This 443-nucleotide ribosomal RNA is filed under the name uncultured bacterium. RNAcentral describes it as "partial 16S ribosomal RNA". It matches the Rfam family "Bacterial small subunit ribosomal RNA", at positions 338 to 795 of the family's 1533-position model. The record is from RNAcentral.